GGCCCCGUGGUGAAGGAUUCAUGUUGAGUUGCAAGCUCAUUGAUGCGUAUUUAAAGUGCGCCGGGGUCU
This 69-nucleotide transfer RNA is filed under the name Bubo bubo (Eurasian eagle-owl). RNAcentral's name for it is "tRNA-Cys". Lineage: Eukaryota; Metazoa; Chordata; Aves; Strigiformes; Strigidae. The record is from RNAcentral.